AUUGAACGCUGGCGGCCGGCCUAACACAUGCAAGUCGAACGAGUGGCGGACGGGUGAGUAAUGUCUGGGAAACUGCCCGAUGGAGGGGGAUAACUACUGGAAACGGUAGCUAAUACCGCAUACCAUCGGCAGUGCCCCGAUGGGAUUAGCUAGUAGGUGGGGUAACGGCUCACCUACGCGACGAUCCCUAGCUGGUUGGAGAGGAUGACCAGCCACACUGGAACUGAGACAGGGGCCAGCCUCCUACGGGAGGACGCAGUGGGGAAUAUUGCACAAUGGGGGCAAGCCGGAUGCAGCAAUGCCGCGUGUAUGAAGAAGGCCUUCGGUUUGUAAAGUACUUUCAGCGGGGCGGCGUUACUCGCAGAAGAAGCACCGGCUAACUCCGUGCCAGCAGCCGCGGUAAUUC
RNAcentral lists this ribosomal RNA (406 nucleotides) under uncultured bacterium. RNAcentral describes it as "partial 16S ribosomal RNA". It matches the Rfam family "Bacterial small subunit ribosomal RNA", at positions 30 to 526 of the family's 1533-position model. The record is from RNAcentral.